This 925-nucleotide long non-coding RNA is filed under the name Phoenix dactylifera (date palm). Its description in RNAcentral is "long non-coding RNA (PDAC_LNC016992)". The record is from RNAcentral. Lineage: Eukaryota; Viridiplantae; Streptophyta; Magnoliopsida; Arecales; Arecaceae.
AUGUUAAAUCAUUCCAGGCCCAAGCUUAAUCACAGAGCUAUCAAUCCGUUAACGUUAAAUUUGAGAUGCCCCAAAAUUCUUCUUAGAAUUAUCAAAAAUAGGAGAGCCCAUAACUACUUCCAGUAGGCAAAGAAUCAAUGACAUUCUCCUCUACUAGAAAACUAACUCAAGUCUUCUAUAAUAAUACCCUUCAGAUCAAGGUAUUAUCAUUAUUAUUAUUUUUUUUUAAUCGGUUUCAAAAUAACUCAAACCACUACACUUCCGUUGCGCACUCUGACCUAACUCAUCAAAUUCUUUAAAGUCGCAAAAUGAUUUCUGACCAAAGCAUCACUUUGCACCGAGAUUAAGAAAAUCCAAAUUUUAAAUUUUCAAGUAGAACUAGAGCAAAACGUCUAGAUCUUUUUGUCCUCAAUUUAUAUAGAGUAUACUUACCAUAACUAACCCCCAAUCCUUUAGUCAAGUUUAAGGUCACUACGUGAUCUCCACAACCUUUUUAGAAUCCAAAAUAUCUAAGUUUAAUUUAAAGGGGGUAAUUCUUGUAUUCCCUUAGCAAUUUAAUUAGAAAAUCUACAUUGAUUUUUCUUCCAACAGAAUUUACUUCAAAUUCAAUGGGUUAGAACUGUUGAGCCAAUAUCACUAUGAUUAGAAAUUAACUCUAUCGAUCUCCAGAUCUUUCUCCACCAAAAUUCUUAACAUUCAUCAGCAAUGCUAUAUAUGAUAAUUCAUGUAAGCAUCUCAUGAUCGAAGUCUUUACUCAAUAUGACAUUUAUUAGUGGCUUCAUCAACAAUGACAAAAGAUCCCUGCUCAAAUCUUAAACCUAGGCUUGAGUUUUAAAUUAACACAUCAAAUAGUCUUCUAUAAUUAUAAGUAAAAUCCAGUAACCCAAUCCAAACAUGAGAAUUCAAAUAAUUAGAAUUCCUCCGU